UGGCUCAGUGGUUAAAGCGAUCAACUGCUAAUUGAAAUGUCGGUGGUUCAAAACCACC
This 58-nucleotide transfer RNA is filed under the name Loxodonta africana (African savanna elephant). It matches the Rfam family "tRNA", at positions 8 to 63 of the family's 71-position model. Rfam says of the family: Transfer RNA (tRNA) molecules are approximately 80 nucleotides in length. Their secondary structure includes four short double-helical elements and three loops (D, anti-codon, and T loops). The record is from Rfam by way of RNAcentral. Lineage: Eukaryota; Metazoa; Chordata; Mammalia; Proboscidea; Elephantidae.